Molecule: non-coding RNA, 28 nt
Filed under: Cricetulus griseus (Chinese hamster)
Lineage: Eukaryota; Metazoa; Chordata; Mammalia; Rodentia; Cricetidae
Source: RNAcentral
GUCAGUGUUUCAGGUAGGAGUCCUGUGC